This 65-nucleotide transfer RNA is filed under the name Meranoplus bicolor. RNAcentral's name for it is "tRNA-Pro". Lineage: Eukaryota; Metazoa; Arthropoda; Insecta; Hymenoptera; Formicidae. The record is from RNAcentral.
CAAAAAAUAAUUUAACUAAGAAUAUUAAUUUUGGAGAUUAAAAGUAUUAAUGAUAAUUUUUUUGA